RNAcentral lists this long non-coding RNA (229 nucleotides) under Homo sapiens (human). RNAcentral describes it as "non-protein coding lnc-PARPBP-9:1". Lineage: Eukaryota; Metazoa; Chordata; Mammalia; Primates; Hominidae. The record is from RNAcentral.
GUUGGAUAGAGCCCCAAAUAUUUGGGAAUGCAGGGAUGAGAGGGAAGAAGAAGGCUUUCCUAUUUGCUGUUUACCUAUCAGUCUGGGGACAAAUUGGUGAUUUCAGGCUCAUGCCUCUAUAUCACAAUGCGUUAGUGUCCACCAUUAAUGUGGUGCUUGGCAGAGAGGUUCAGGGCUGAACACACAAGGGCCAGAGCUGCUUUUCCACAUCAGCUCUCUCAAGCCUGGA